RNAcentral lists this ribosomal RNA (419 nucleotides) under Aegista hiroshifukudai. RNAcentral describes it as "partial 16S rRNA". The record is from RNAcentral. Lineage: Eukaryota; Metazoa; Mollusca; Gastropoda; Stylommatophora; Camaenidae.
UACAAUAUGGGAUAAAUUUAUAUUGCAAUUUCUGCUCAAUGGUAGUUUUACUAAAUAGCCGCAGUACUCUGACUGUGCAAAGGUAGCAUAAUAAAUUGGCUUAUAAUUAAGGUCUGGGAUGAAAGAAAAACUGGAGAGGGGCUUUAUCCUUUAAAGAUUUCAAACUUACUUAAGUAGUGAAAAUACUACUAGUUAAAUUAAAGACGAGAAGACCCUUGAAAUUUUUAUUAAAUAGAUUUUUCUCUAUUAAUUUUUGUUGGGGCGACAAAGUAACAUUUAAACUUACUAAUUUUACGUGACACUUUUUAAUCGUAAGAUUAAAUUACUCUAGGGAUAACAGCAUAAUAUUUUAAAGUUUGUGACCUCGAUGUUGGACUAGGGACCCUUUGUCUAGAAGACUAUUGGUUAUGCUCUGUUCG